RNAcentral lists this ribosomal RNA (914 nucleotides) under uncultured marine archaeon. RNAcentral's name for it is "bacterial SSU rRNA". It matches the Rfam family "Archaeal small subunit ribosomal RNA", at positions 1 to 921 of the family's 1478-position model. The record is from RNAcentral.
UUCCGGUUGAUCCUGCCGGAGGCUACCGCUAUUGGAGUUCGAUUAAGCCAUGCGAGUCGCGAGUCUUAGGGACUCGGCGUACCGCUCAGUAACACGUGGGUAACCUGCCCUAUGCUGGGGGAUAACCUCGGGAAACUGAGAAUAAUACCCCAUAGUUCACCACGCCUGGAACGGUGGGUGGAUGAAAGCUCCGGCGGCAUAGGAUGGGCCUGCGGCGUAUCAGGUUGUAGGGGGUGUAAUGUACCCUCUAGCCAUCUACGCGUACGGGUGUUGGGAGACAUCGCCCGGAGAUGGAUUCUGAGACACGAAUCCAGACCCUACGGGGUGCAGCAGGCGCGAAAACUUGGCAAUGCGAGAAAUCGUGACCAGGGAACUCCAAGUGGCUGGGGUAAGACCCAGUCUUUUCUUGACUCUUCAAAGGUCUUGGAAUAAGAGGUGGGUAAGGACGGUGCCAGCCGCCGCGGUAAUACCGGCGCCUCAAGUGGUAGUCGAUUUUAUUGGGCCUAAAACGUCCGUAGCCUGUUUGGUACAUUCGUGGGUAAAUCAACCAGCUCAACUGGUUGAAUUCUGCGAGCACGGCCAGACUUGGGACCGGGAGAGGUGUGGGGUACGCUCAGGGUAGGGGUAAAAUCCUGUCAUCCUGAGCGGACCACCUGUUGCGAAGGCGCCACACUAGAACGGAUCCGACGGUCAGGGACGAAGCCUAGGGGCACGAACCGGAUUAGAUACCCGGGUAGUCCUAGGUGUAAACGCUGUGGACUUGGUGUUGGGGAUGAUCCGAUCAUUCUCAGUGCCGAAGCGAAGGUGAUAAGUCCACUGCCUGGGGAGUACGGUCGCAAGGCUGAAACUUAAAGGAAUUGGCGGGGGAGCACCGCAACCUGAGGAUUGUGCGGUUUAAUUGGAGUCAACGCCGG